GCAUAUCAAUAAGCGGAGGAAAAGAAACCAACAGGGAUUGCCUCAGUAACGGCGAGUGAAGCGGCAAGAGCUCAAAUUUGAAAGCUGGCCCCCUCGGGGUCCGCAUUGUAAUUUGCAGAGGAUGCUUCGGGAGUGGCCCCCAUCUAAGUGCCCUGGAACGGGCCGUCAUAGAGGGUGAGAAUCCCGUCUGGGAUGGGGUGUCCACGCCCGUGUGAAGCUCCUUCGACGAGUCGAGUUGUUUGGGAAUGCAGCUCUAAAUGGGUGGUAAAUUUCAUCUAAAGCUAAAUACUGGCCGGAGACCGAUAGCGCACAAGUAGAGUGAUCGAAAGAUGAAAAGCACUUUGAAAAGAGAGUUAAACAGCACGUGAAAUUGUUGAAAGGGAAGCGCUUGCGACCAGACUCGCCCACGGGGUUCAGCCGGCAUUCGUGCCGGUGUACUUCCCCGCGGGCGGGCCAGCGUCGGUUUGGGCGGCCGGUCAAAGGCCCUUGGAAUGUAACGCCCCCCGGGGCGUCUUAUAGCCAAGGGUGCCAUGCGGCCAGCCCGGACCGAGGAACGCGCUUCGGCUCGGACGCUGGCAUAAUGGUCGUAAGCGACCCGUCUUGAAACACGGACCAAGGAGUCUAACAUCUACGCGAGUGUUCGGGUGUCAAACCCGUGCGCGCAGUGAAAGCGAACGGAGGUGGGAACCCCUCGGGGCGCACCAUCGACCGAUCCUGAAGUCUUCGGAUGGAUUUGAGUAAGAGCGUAGCUGUUGGGACCCGAAAGAUGGUGAACUAUGCCUGAAUAGGGCGAAGCCAGAGGAAACUCUGGUGGAGGCUCGCAGCGGUUCUGACGUGCAAAUCGAUCGUCAAAUUUGGGUAUAGGGGCGAAAGACUAAUCGAACCAUCUAGUAGCUGGUUC
RNAcentral lists this ribosomal RNA (901 nucleotides) under Penicillium subrubescens. RNAcentral's name for it is "LSU rRNA". It matches the Rfam family "Eukaryotic large subunit ribosomal RNA", at positions 38 to 957 of the family's 3401-position model. The record is from RNAcentral. Lineage: Eukaryota; Fungi; Ascomycota; Eurotiomycetes; Eurotiales; Aspergillaceae.